Molecule: ribosomal RNA, 428 nt
Filed under: uncultured bacterium
Lineage: Bacteria
Description: bacterial SSU rRNA
Rfam family: Bacterial small subunit ribosomal RNA
Source: RNAcentral
UAGGGAAUAUUGCGCAAUGAACGAAAGUUUGACGCAGCGACGCCGCGUGAGUGAUGAAGGUCCUCGGAUCGUAAAGCUCUGUCAAGAGGGAAGAAGUGUUAGUGCUCUAAUAUAGCGCUAAUUUGACGGUACCUCUGAAGGAAGCACCGGCUAACUCCGUGCCAGCAGCCGCGGUAAUACGGAGGGUGCAAGCGUUAAUCGGAAUUACUGGGCGUAAAGCGCGCGUAGGCGGGUUUGCAAGUCAGAAGUGAAAUCCCCGGGCUCAACCUGGGAAUAGCUUUUGAUACUGUGGACCUUGAGUUCGGGAGAGGGUGGCGGAAUUCCAGGUGUAGGAGUGAAAUCCGUAGAUAUCUGGAGGAACAUCAGUGGCGAAGGCGGCCACCUGGCCCGAUACUGACGCUGAGGUGCGAAAGCGUGGGUAGCAAACA